Dama dama (fallow deer) is the source of this 368-nucleotide long non-coding RNA. RefSeq lists it as uncharacterized. The record is from RefSeq and is a predicted model, not a curated record. Lineage: Eukaryota; Metazoa; Chordata; Mammalia; Artiodactyla; Cervidae. The transcript is spliced from 3 exons.
UGUGUGGACAGAAUACCGUCUUUCAAGAGCCAGGAGCUAUGGGAGUCUAGCCGACAUGGGAUCAUGGGGAAGAGGAAAAAACGAAGGAAGGACCUGGGGCCAAAUAGCCACAGACAAAGUCCUCUUGGAUGAGGCAGGUUCUCCUCUGGCUGGAGGCUAGUGCCUGCACCUGUCAGCUCAGCACCCUGAUGGAUCUCUGUGCGAUUCGCCUCUGCCCCGCCUGCCCCUUAAUGAGCACUCUGGCCCCGGGAAACAGAGCAUAUGGAUCUCUCCUAAAAACACCCAAGACCAAAUACCAUGACCAUAUCAAAGGAUUCCCUUCUUCCCAUUCAUCUCUCCAGCCUCCUUCAAAGACAGGGAUGAACCCC